This 436-nucleotide ribosomal RNA is filed under the name uncultured Oscillibacter sp. RNAcentral describes it as "bacterial SSU rRNA". It matches the Rfam family "Bacterial small subunit ribosomal RNA", at positions 341 to 792 of the family's 1533-position model. Lineage: Bacteria; Bacillati; Bacillota; Clostridia; Eubacteriales; Oscillospiraceae. The record is from RNAcentral.
ACGGGAGGCAGCAGUGGGGAAUAUUGGGCAAUGGACGCAAGUCUGACCCAGCAACGCCGCGUGAAGGAAGAAGGCUUUCGGGUUGUAAACUUCUUUGACAGGGGAAGAGGAGAAGACGGUACCCUGAAAACAAGCCACGGCUAACUACGUGCCAGCAGCCGCGGUAAUACGUAGGUGGCAAGCGUUGUCCGGAUUUACUGGGUGUAAAGGGCGUGUAGCCGGGUCGGCAAGUCAGGAGUGAAAUCUAUGGGCUUAACCCAUAAAUUGCUUUUGAAACUGCUGAUCUUGAGUAUCGGAGAGGUAAUCGGAAUUCCUUGUGUAGCGGUGAAAUGCGUAGAUAUAAGGAAGAACACCAGUGGCGAAGGCGGAUUACUGGACGACAACUGACGGUGAGGCGCGAAAGCGUGGGGAGCGAACAGGAUUAGAUACCCUGGUA